This is an RNA transcript of Musa acuminata AAA Group (dessert banana), 5030 nucleotides long. It is a transcript of the gene named paired amphipathic helix protein Sin3-like 3, with no coding region annotated. The transcript has 25 exons. The record is from RefSeq and is a predicted model, not a curated record. Lineage: Eukaryota; Viridiplantae; Streptophyta; Magnoliopsida; Zingiberales; Musaceae.
UUUUAGUUCAGCUUUCUCUUCUCUGCCCCGCUCGCGUCCGCCUCCUCCUGCUCCUUUAAUCCGUGGAAAGGGGCAAAGAAGAGCUCGCACUACUCUCCCUUUCCUAUCUCGUCAGCGCCGCCUUCUUUUCUACCGCGAGCUUUCUUCACCUUGAUCCCGGAGAAUUGCCUCUUUCGUAUGAGUUUGAUCGGAAUUUGAGCCGAGAAAGGAGGUGCAGAGAGGAGAAAUAUCGAGGACUCGCCUCGUUUCGGGGUUUGAUUCGCAGCUUGUCGGUGUAAAUAGGGGAAAAAGAGGAUUUUGGUGAGGGUUAAAGCUGACCUUGGUUGUUUAAUGGAUGGUCGGAAGGGGCACGGAAGGAGGCUUUGAUGGGUUCUCAGCUCAAGUGGCCUAACGUUCCUCGAGCGGAUCCGUGGGUUCCUUCUUCUUCCUCCUCGGCCCAUCGUAUCAGUUGUACUUGACUUUGGUGGCCCUUCUUGUCUGAGAUAUAAGAGGUCUUGGCAAACCCAUAUGGCGCCGGCAGCAGCAGCUGGUAGUACUUCCAAGCUGACGACUAAUGAUGCCCUAGCCUAUUUGAAGGCUGUGAAGGAUAUAUUUCAUGACAAAAGGGAGAAAUAUGAUGAAUUCCUUGAGGUCAUGAAGGACUUCAAGAGCCAGAGGAUUGACACGAAUGGGGUUAUCAUGAGGGUGAAGGAAUUAUUUAAGGGGCACCGGGAUCUAAUCCUAGGCUUCAACACCUUCUUGCCAAAGGGAUAUGAGAUUAAGCUACCGGAAGAAAAGAAACCAGUCGAAUUUGAGGAAGCAAUCGUUUUUGUUAACAAAAUCAAGAGUCGUUUUCAGAAUGAUGAACAUGUUUACAAGUCAUUCUUAGAUAUUCUGAAUAUGUAUCGAAGGGAGAAUAAGCCAAUCCGUGAGGUCUACGAAGAGGUAGCAGCCCUCUUUCAGAAUCAUCAAGAUUUGCUUGAGGAAUUCACACACUUUUUGCCUGAUGCCUCAGCAACAUAUGCUCCACAUCUUGGAUAUCCUGAUCGAUCCUUUGCACACCGAGAUGAGAGGAACCCUGUGAUGCCUUUAGCAAGGGAAGAUAAGCGAGAGAAAGCUUAUACGUCACAUGCCAACCGUGACUUAAGCAUCGAUCGUCUUGAUAUGGAGCAUGAUAGUCAGAGAAGGCAUGCAGAGAAGGAAAAGGAUAGGAAAGAAGAUAGGGACAAAAGAUAUCAUGAACGUGAUGAAAAGGAAUUGGCGCAUGAUAGUGGAGAUUUAGACAAUGAACAGUGUAGGCAUAAACUUCCAUCUAGAAGGGUGGAUGACCCUACUGCUGAGCCGAUGCAUCAAGGCGGUAAUAUUGCCAUGAAUAGCAUUUCAGCUUCACAAUUUGAUGAUAAAAAUGCUUUGAAGAGUGUAUAUACCCGAGAAUUUAACUUUUGUGAGAAAGUCAAGGAGAAGUUGCACUGUGAUACAUACCAGGAAUUUUUGCAAUGCCUUCACAUAUACAGCAAAGAAAUAAUAAACAGAACAGAACUAAAGAAUCUGGUAAGUGACAUCCUUGGAAAGUAUCCAGAUCUCAUGGAAGGUUUCAAUGAAUUUUUGGCCCAUUGUGAGAAUAUAGAUGGAUUUCUUAAAGGUGUAAUCAACAAAAGACACAUGGCUAUGCCGAUUAAGAUAGAGGAUAGAGACAGAGAAAGGGACCUUGAAAUAAAUGAUCGGGAGAAAGAUCUUGAAAGAGAGAGAAACUUUGAAAGAGAAAGAGGUGAUAAAGGUGCCGCUCACAAGGCUCCUUUAAUUUCAAACAAAGAAAAAUAUAAUUUAUGGAAACCUAUUUCAGAGCUUGACCUUUCAAAUUGUCAACGUUGUAGCCCAAGUUACUGUCUUCUGCCAAAAAAUUAUUCAAUACCUCCUGCUAGCCAAAGGACUGAACUUGGAGAGUCAGUAUUAAAUGAUGUAUGGGUAUCAGUGACUUCAGGAAGUGAGGACUACUCUUUUAAGCACAUGCGCAAAAACCAAUAUGAAGAAAGCUUAUUUAGAUGCGAAGAUGAUAGAUUUGAGCUGGAUAUGUUGUUGGAAUCGGUGAAUGCGACAACUAAACAAGUGGAGGAAUUGCUAGAGAUGAUGCAAGACCCAGUAAAAUCAGAGAAUCCAAUUCACAUUGAAGACACUCUUACUUCUUUGAAUUCGAGAUGCAUUGAACGAUUAUAUGGAGACCAUGGUCUUGAUGUCAUGGAUGUACUUCGCAAGAAUUCUAGUCUUUCAUUGCCAGUCAUACUAACCCGCCUGAAGCAAAAGCAAGAGGAAUGGACUAGGUGCCGUUCAGAUUUUAAUAAAGUUUGGGCAGAAAUAUAUGCUAAGAACUAUCACAAAUCACUUGACCACCGUAGUUUCUAUUUCAAGCAACAGGAUGCAAAGAGCUUGAGCACAAAAGCUUUGCUGGCUGAGAUUAAAGAAAUUAAUGACAAGAUGAAGAAGGAAGAUGACAUUGUUCUUUCCAUUGCAGCCAAAAAUAGGCAGCCUAUAGUUCCCAAUAUGGAAUUUGAGUAUAUAGAUCUAGAUAUUCAUGAGGAUCUAUAUCGGAUCAUUAGAUAUUCAUGUGGAGAAGUUUGCACAUCUUUGGAUCAGGUGGACAAAGUCAUUAAGUUUUGGACUACAUUUCUGGAGCCCCUAAUGGGUUUUCAACCUCAAAACCGAGGUGCAGAAGGCAUGCGAGAUGUAAAACCUAAUAGUCAUUCUGGCAAAUCCAGUAUUGCUGGUUUGGUUAAAAGCAAUGGGAGUCCUGAUGCUGAUGGCACAGGUGCCACCAAGCAAAGUAAUGGUGGUGAGAAUAUUCAAUCUGAACAAGUGGCUUCAUGCAGGACCAAGUUAGCAAAUGGAGACACAACAGUUGCUGGGAAUUGUUUUCAUGAUGUGGGUCGAGCCACUCAUCGUGUUGGAAAUCUUUGUAACAAUCCACUUCAGAGAAGGGUACAGGGUAGUGCUCCCAAGGCUGAUGAAAGCUCUGGAAUAACUGUGCAAAAUGUGUCUGCAGAACAUUUGUCAGAUAACACUUGUUUUGUUGGCAGAGCUGAAGAAAGUCACAGUAGAACAAACCUGGAGACUGUAUCAGGGGUUGGUGGUGCAUCUUUACAGACCAGCCACUGUGGAACAGAUAUGCUGGUUGAACCUCGAGCUUAUUUAGAGGUUGGACAAACUGGAAGGACAAUUAUAUCGGUGAAUUGUGGUGGCACUGCUGAAUGCAACAAAGGUGACAGGCCUAAUGAAGGUUCCACUUGCCUUAACAACCUCAAGGUUGAAAGAGAAGAAGGUGAAUUGUCGCCUAAUGGAGAUACUGAAGAGGAUAAUUUUGCGGCUUUUGAAGAUGCUGCUAUAAGUGUAGCUCCUAAAGGGAGGGAUAAUUGUGCCAGCACACAGUACCAAAUCAAACCUGUAGAAGUUGAGGUUUCCUGUGGUGAGGCUGCAGGAGAGAAUGAUGCUGAUGAUGAUGAUGAGGGUGAAGAAAGUGCUCAACGGUCUACAGAGGUGAGUGAAAAUGCAUCGGAGGCUGGUGAGGAUGUUUCUGUCAGUGAAUCUGGUAAUGGUGAGGAAUGCUCCCAUGAUGUUCAUGAGCAGGAAGAAGAUGAUGUUGUGCAUGAUGAUCAGGAUGCAAAGGCUGAAAGUGAGGGUGAGGCUGAAGGAAUGACUGAUGUGCAGGACGUUGAAGGGGAAAUUAUGUCAUUACCUUUCUCAGAACGUUUUCUUCACACAGUGAAACCUCUGGCAAGGCACGUGCCUGCAGCAUUACAUGAUAAAAAAGAUAGUUCUUCCCGUGUCUUCUAUGGAAAUGAUUCCUUCUAUGUGCUGUUACGGCUCCAUCAGGCUUUGUAUGAAAGGAUACUCUCAGCCAAGACAAAUUCAUUAGCUGCCGAAAAGAAACAGAGAAGCUUCAAAGAUACAAGCCCUCCUGAUUUAUAUGCCAAGUUUAUGAGUGCUUUAUACAAUCUACUUGAUGGUUCUGCUGACAAUAUGAAAUUUGAAGAUGAUUGCCGUGCUAUAAUUGGAACUCAGUCCUACGUACUAUUUACAUUGGACAAGCUAAUCUAUAAAGUUGUUAAACAGCUUCAAGCAAUAGCGUCAGAUGAGAUGGAUAAUAAGAUUCUCCAACUCUACUCUUAUGAAAAAUCAAGGCUAGCUGGCGGAUCUUUUGAUAUAGUUUAUCACGAGAAUGCUCGAGUGCUUUUACAUGAUGAGAGCAUAUACAGAUUUGAAUGUGUUUCACAGUCUUCACAUGUGACCCGACUAUCAAUUCAGCUCAUGGAAUAUGGACAAGAAAAGCCCGAACUCACUGCUAUCUCAUUAGAUCCCAACUUUUCGGCAUAUCUAUACAAUGAUCUUUUGUCAAGUGUCUCAGAUAGGAAAGGAGCACAAGGUGUCUUCCUUGGAAGGAAUAAACGCAAAUAUGGAGGUGCUGAUGAGUACUCUGCUACUUGCAAGGCAAUGAAUGGGUUUCAAGUUAUCAAUGGUUUAGAAUGCAAGAUAUCUUGCAGUUCUUCUAAGGUGUCUUAUGUGCUAGACACUGAAGAUUUCUUGUUCCGAGUGAAAAAGAAAAGGCGAUGUUCAUGUGGAGGGACCAUCUUUGGUGAUCAAGUGCAACCUUCACAAGUACAUGAUGCAAAAAUACAUCGAUUUUAUGGCUUCUUAUCCAGUUUUCUGUCCAGGUCCUAAGGCGUCAUGCCAAAAGAGAACUGAUAAGAGUCGCUUCAAAUGCAACUUCAGUAUCAGCAACCACAGAAUUUGGUUGCUGUUUGUCAUGAGUCCAAAGACUACCCUAACCAGCAAUUUGGUGCAUACGUCAACUGUUUUUUAAACUUAAUUCUAGUGGCUUUUGACAUAAAAAAUGUGUAUAUAUGUACCGGACCCCAACUUUCUUCCUCUUAUAUGCAUACCCAAUGUUUCUUUCUUUCCCCAGCCAUUGGCUCUCAUAUUUAUAGUCCAUCUGAAACCCAAUGUAACAUUUAGAUGUAUACAGCUUAUUCCUGUAACCAGUGUAGCCAUUCGCGGUCUUA